RNAcentral lists this ribosomal RNA (329 nucleotides) under uncultured Lachnospiraceae bacterium. RNAcentral's name for it is "partial 16S ribosomal RNA". Lineage: Bacteria; Bacillati; Bacillota; Clostridia; Lachnospirales; Lachnospiraceae. The record is from RNAcentral.
GGAGUUUGGGCCGUGUCUCAGUCCCAAUGUGGCCGGUCACCCUCUCAGGUCGGCUACUGAUCGUCGCCUUGGUGGGCCGUUACCUCACCAACUAGCUAAUCAGACGCGGGCCCAUCCCAUACCACCGGAGUUUUUCACACUGUCUCAUGCGAGACCGUGCGCUUAUGCGGUAUUGUCAGUCGUUUCCAACUGUUAUCCCCCUGUAUGGGGCAGGUUGCCCACGCGUUACUCACCCGUCCGCCACUCGGUUAAAAAUCGUCACCCCGAAGGGAUCGUAAUAAGUAACCUCGUUCGACUUGCAUGUGUUAAGCACGCCGCCAGCGUUCAUC